UUAGUUAAAGCUUUAAAGAAGCAGGUUAUUGUUAAUAUCCAGAUGAAAUACUUUUCUAACUAAU
This 64-nucleotide transfer RNA is filed under the name Calanus hyperboreus. RNAcentral's name for it is "tRNA-Asn". Lineage: Eukaryota; Metazoa; Arthropoda; Copepoda; Calanoida; Calanidae. The record is from RNAcentral.